UACGGAGGUGGCAAGCGUUGUUCGGAAUUACUGGGCGUAAAGUGUGCGCAGGCGGCUCCGCAAGUCGAGUGUGAAAUCCCCGAGCUUAACUUGGGAAUUGCGCUCGAAACUACGGAGCUGGAGUGUGGCAGAGGAAGGUGGAAUUCCACGUGUAGCGGUGAAAUGCGUAGAUAUGUGGAGGAACACCGAUGGCGAAGGCAGCCUUCUGGGCCAACACUGACGCUCAUGCACGAAAGCGUGGGGAGCAAACAGG
This 253-nucleotide ribosomal RNA is filed under the name uncultured bacterium. RNAcentral's name for it is "partial 16S ribosomal RNA". It matches the Rfam family "Bacterial small subunit ribosomal RNA", at positions 524 to 776 of the family's 1533-position model. The record is from RNAcentral.